This is an RNA transcript of Rhopalosiphum padi (bird cherry-oat aphid), 1834 nucleotides long. It is a transcript of the gene named protein HEXIM1-like, with no coding region annotated. NCBI's taxonomy places the organism in Eukaryota, Metazoa, Arthropoda, Insecta, Hemiptera, Aphididae. The record is from RefSeq and is a predicted model, not a curated record. The transcript has 7 exons.
CGAAGUUUGACUGCUUUGGCUUGCGGACGUGCGUUCACCGUUCGUACUGAGCCUCCUCCUCCCAAUCGAUAGCGCCAUCGUUGCCGUUGCCGAUUCGAACGUAAACCGUUCGCGCCACGAACGUAAAUCCGUUUCCAGCCGAUUCCUUGCGAUCCACGGCCGACCCGAGAGACCGGGAAGACGCGCGACCAGGACGUCGAAACGACCACCACAACAACAACAAAAACAACAAUGGAAGAAGACCAAAAUGGCGUCGUCGUCGGGCGGCCGCCGAACAGCGAUACCUGCGGAAUGAUCGUCAACCACGGCGGCGGGGACGACCGGACGACGGCGGCGGCUGCGGCUGCGGCACCGCCUACACCAGCGCUCCCGGCGGCAGCGGCCACAGCUUUCGGAGCCCCGGCGCGCCCAGCGCCGCGGUACGGCGCCCAUCACAACUGCAACAAUAACAAUUCGGUCAUCAAAGGGCAGCAGCACCAGUUAAAGGGUCCUGGUAAUCUAGAUCACAGAAAUAGACGUACGCGUCGCGGUAAACGUAAAAGCAGAAAGCAAACACCAUACACGAAGGAUGGGAUGUUGUUUCGAGACAAAGCUGUUGCUCCAAAUAACACUAAUCAGUUUUUAAUGGAUGAUCAUAAUGAUGGCCCAGACAUAGAUAAAAAAUUAUUUGCAAGAUAUAAUAAUGAAAAUGGACGUACAAGAAAUUCAAGUUAUACUAGUCUCGAAUCUGAGGGUGAACAGAUGUAUUCUUCAUCAGAUGAUGAUGGCACUUCAAUACAAAAGGAAUUUAUCGAAUCCUAUAGACUUGUUCAAGAAGAAGAAUUGGCGGGGUUGACUCAAAACGAACUUGUUCAACGAGUGAUUGAGCUCGAAGAAAAAGUUCAAUUGCUUGAGGCCAAUAAGAGGUUUAAAAAAAAUCCAGACACAUAUUUAAAUGGCAUAGACGAUGAAGAAAACUCUAUUGAUCUAGAAGAAUAUAAACUAAUGCAAAUACAGAAUAGAGAAUUGACAUCACAAAACAAAGUACUACAAGCUGAAGUCGAAACUCUUAAACAAAAACAAAACAAGAUGAAUAAUGAUUCAGAUAGCUCUGUAGAUAGUGGAAGUUCAUCAGACUCCAGUAGCUCUUCUAGUUCAUCUGAUGGACAAGAAAUAGAAAUGAAGUUUUUAUUACGGAGUAGUGGAAGAGAUGAUUGAUCAGUCAAGUACUAAAAUAAUGUUUAAUGGUUUAAUGUAAACUGUGAAGUUUGGCAGUGAUCACUUUAACAUGGAACUUAGUGAUAACUUAUGCCUAACAAAUAACCAUCAGGCUAUUAUUUUUGAUAUUGAAAUAAAACUCAUUCAACCAUAAAAGGUAGAAAUAUUAGACUGUUGCUGAUAUUAAACAUCUGCCGAAAAAUGACAGCAACUGGUGUAGCAUUGACGUCAGAAACAAAAUGUUUGCAAAAUAAACAUAGUAGGUCUAUGGUGUUGGCUAAUGUGUCAUAGAGCCAAAAAAAUGAAUUGCUGAUUCUGAAAUGAUUCUAAAGGUCAGAGCGUGGUGUCAAAUAUAUCCAGGAAUUUACUACUAUCUACAGAUAAAUACAUUUUAUUUAUGGAUGAUAAUUAUUUAAAAACAGAAAAUACACCUGGAUUGAAGAUAAAAUAUGGAGUUUUAAAUUCCAACAGCUAGUACUCAAGAUAAAAGGUUAAAAUGAAUGACAAAAUCUAAAUUAAAACAUUUGAAAAUUGUUAAAAUUUUAUAUUUAGUCAUAUUGUUUAUUAUAUUAUACUUAUAUUGUAUAUCAUAGUAUUAUGUCAACCAAAAUAAAAUAAAAUAAUUUUUUUUAUAAAA